RNAcentral lists this long non-coding RNA (1218 nucleotides) under Coturnix japonica (Japanese quail). RNAcentral's name for it is "lncRNA (ENSCJPG00005011021.1)". Lineage: Eukaryota; Metazoa; Chordata; Aves; Galliformes; Phasianidae. The record is from RNAcentral.
AUCAGUCGAACAUCUCAGCGGUAAGUGCUUGCUUUCAUAUACAUACAUAUGUGUAAAUAGAUAUUGAUAAAUCCACGCUGGGUCACUCAAAAGCAGGCCCUGGGGAGGGAAAAACCGGCUCAGGGAGGGCUCGCCGGCACCACCGCCUCCUGCUGCAGCCCGGGGUCCGGUGUACCGGCACUGCGCGGGUUUCACGGGCACGGAUAGUGCUCUCCCGUCUGCUCGCCCGGAGCGCCGGCAGCGUUUUACGGUGCGAGGUGCCGCCUUGGGCGCUUCAGCAGAGCUAUAAGUAGUUAAUAAAGGGGCUGGGAAGAGAUCCUGUUUACUGAUUGUUGCUGAUUGUUGUUUUCUUGAUAACAGAGCAAGCCACUGAAUGACUGUUUGAGCUCAGGCGCCACAAACAUAAACUUAACAGCUCCCAGCGUGCCGGCCUUGCUGAAGGAUCACUCCUCACCUCCCGGGACUUGUGAAGUGCAGGCGGAGAAGGCAGCUCCUGAGGAGGCGGCGGGGAGACAGGCUCCGGGGGGGCGGGGGAGGCCAUGCUGUGUGACUGAGCUUUCUGUAUGGUAUCGUAUCUGCUGUCCUUAGCCGGGGAAAGGGGUGCAAAACUAAUCGGUGCUUUUCCCCAAGGCUCCUGUCGGUGCCGAAGGUUGGGGCAAGGUCCGUGCGACGCUCUUAGCAGCAUUCGAGGCGGGAAAGGCGGCUUUUGCUUCGAACUGCUGUUUCUUAGUACUGAUUUUCAUUUCUUGCGGCUCACCACACCAGGCGCUCAGGGUGCCGGGGAGGGAAAGCAGAGGAGGCGGGAGUGCCGCGCGGCAUCACCGCACCCGGCCUGGUCCCAGCAACGGGGCUGGGUUACCUGCUGCCUCGGAUUGCCGGAUUGCUUCGGCUGCGUCGGGGGACGAGAUGUGGAGAGAAAGAAGGAAAAAGGUUGCAAAACAGGAUUUUUGCUAAAGUUGAAGAUGCAAGCUGAGGUCCCAGCCCUUACAGCGCUUACUGUGAGUAACUUGAAGCAAUUAUUACAACUCUGGUGAUUCAGGAAUUGCAGGGGCAAACUGUAAAGGUUACAGAGAGCCUUUUGUGAAGGUAGUGGAAGAUUUGCUGCUAACAUCUCAUGAAGCAGGAAUGCGUAUCACUGAAGGGCUGAGCCCAGUGUUCUCCGAAGUUAGUGGCAAAGAUCCCUUGACAUGUGAGUAUAAAAUCAGUGGUACUAUUUUG